GACUUUAAUAGAUUUCUAACACCACAAGGGGCAGGACUGGAAGAUUGACAUUUUGACCCCUCGUUUACUGCCAGAUGAGCUAUUGGGUGUUCUGGAUACAUUGGUUCUCCUUUUCCUGUCAGAGCAGACCAUUCUUUUGCAGGUUUCAUAGUAAGCCCUUUUUGGGAGAAAUGAAUUAUUGCAGGCCUAAGAACUAUGUGGCUGCUGAAAGACUACCAACCCAUGAUGGUCCCUCCCUCCAGAUGAGUGCUAUCAAAAACAUGGUAAGACCUUAAUAUUUAGCUGUAAAACUCAAGGGAGAAUAUAUUUACAUGAAGUGAUUAUCUCUUAUGUUUCUGGACAUUCUAAAGAUACAUUACAUUCUCCUAAUAAUACUUGCCUUCUUUUUGAUAUGAUGUUUUGGAAGAACAGCUUGCACUUAUAAUCAGUACAAUUUAUCACCUAUCCCCAAAGUACCUUGCCGUUGAAAUGCCUGACAUAUAUAUUAGGUGUUGUGGAUUUAGCAAAAAUUGAAUUAUAAAUUGCCUUGCCAGCUUUUGCCUCUGGAAAUAAUGAAAAAGUGAGCUAAAGAAAUGUUCUCCUGAAGGAUUUAUUUUUAGUGGCUAUAGAGAAAGAAACAACAAACAUGGAUUGGCCAGAUUUUAUCAUUUUAAGCACUGAAUAGCUUGGUCUCAAGAAAAGUUUUCAUUCUUUUGAUUUUUUUUAAAGAAAAAAGACUGCACUGAGAGUGCUUGAAUGUCUCUGAAAAUAACUCAAUUGAGAAAGGGGGAAAAGAAAAGAAGGAAAAAAAAAGAAAACAUUAACAAAACAUUAAUUUGUACUCAGUAAGCUAUGAGAAUUUCAAGGUCUUGUGCCCAAAUGAAGUCAAGUUAAAUGUCAUCCAAAAUACUUUCUUUUCUCUUCUCUGGUAAGUGCCAUCUCUCAAUGAAUGAAAUUAUUUGCAAUGGUCUUUUAGAGUUUAACAUUAUCCAACUCCUCAGUAUAAUAGGGCCUUUAAUAAGUUAAUAAUCUAAAUUGGCAGAGCUAUGCAGAAUCCACUUUUGGCAAGUAUUCCAGCAUCAAAGAUGGAGCUAACUUAAACGUUAAUUGUAAAGGUAUUCAAAAAUUCAGUAACCUUUGGUAAUCCUAACUUUAAACUGACAUCUAGUGUUUCCUCAUGAAUUACAUUCUUGUCUCUUGAUAAAUUCCUGCAGAAAAACAAAAUGUACCUUGUG
Molecule: long non-coding RNA, 1214 nt
Filed under: Anser brachyrhynchus (Pink-footed goose)
Lineage: Eukaryota; Metazoa; Chordata; Aves; Anseriformes; Anatidae
Description: lncRNA (ENSABRG00000008353.1)
Source: RNAcentral